AUUCCUGGCUCAGGAUGAACGCUAGCUACAGGCUUAACACAUGCAAGUCGAGGGGCAGCAUUCCAGUUUGCUUGCAAACUGGAGAUGGCGACCGGCGCACGGGUGAGUAACACGUAUCCAACCUGCCGAUAACUCGGGGAUAGCCUUUCGAAAGAAAGAUUAAUACCCGAUGGCAUAAUAGAACCGCAUGGUUUGAUUAUUAAAGAAUUUCGGUUAUCGAUGGGGAUGCGUUCCAUUAGGCAGUUGGG
This 248-nucleotide ribosomal RNA is filed under the name uncultured bacterium. Its description in RNAcentral is "partial 16S ribosomal RNA". It matches the Rfam family "Bacterial small subunit ribosomal RNA", at positions 15 to 253 of the family's 1533-position model. The record is from RNAcentral.